CUCUUAGUGUCGGUUUGAUUGGACGUGAAUUUGAAAUUGAUUUCUGUUUCAAGUAGAAAAUCGUAAAAGUCGAUAUGAUUUCAAAUUCAAAUACAUCAUUUGAAAUCCAUAUAUAUUCAACGGAACCAAUGCGGAAUGUUUUGAGUAGCUGGCAUGAUUUUACCUCGCAACCUUGUUGUAGGAUGGAGUUGGCAUAGCAAAAAGGAGAAGAAAAAGUUAAAAAUCGGGGAAAUCAGAUUAGAAAAUAAGAAUAAUUGUUUGCUGGAAACUUAGGUAGAAAGAAUUUAGGGUAUAAAGGAGUGACGGAGUGGGUAGCAAAAUAUUUAAGCACAUCGUGAGAAUCGAAAAACGGCUUAGCACGGGCUAAGCCAAUAAGUUUGGCACACCAAAACUUAGAAGAAAACUUCUGAAAUUAAAUUGAUGAACAUUUAGUCCAUGUUGCCCUUUAAGGCUACAUAUUUAGAAAUUAUUAUCAUAGUAAAGACAACUUGAAAAACUAAGUUCUAGUAAGGCCUAUUGUCUAGAUAAAUACAAAUAUUUACGUUUGUUGCUCAUUUUAUCCAAACUUUUUAAUUUUGGACAAUUAAACCAAAUCUUUUAAAAUUAAAGAUAUUUUAUCCAACAUCCAAAUUAGAAUUUGAUAAAUUAUAAUUUAGUUCCUGAGGUUGGCGAAAUCUAACAACUUGGCCUUUAUAUUUUCAAAAUUAAACAAUUUAGUAAUUGACAUUUGGGAAAACUUAUGACUUAGUCCUUAUAUUUUCACAACCAAGAAACUUAGCUCAUGAUAUUUGGCAAAACCUAUAACUUAGUCCCUUAAUUUAAAUUUUAUAUUUAAAUAGUAUAAUAAAUAUAUUAAUCUUUUCAAAAUUAAUUCUUCCUAAUAAGAAAAUUUCAAAAUUAUUUUGGAAAAUUUCUUAAGUUUUCCCAUAUAUGUUUUUUAGAUUUUAACUAAUGAAAUUUUGAUUUCUUGAAAUAAAAUAAGAAAAAUUCUUGCAUUGGAAAAAUGAAGAUCCAGUCAAGUUGGGUUUACAGGUAGCAACUCGACUUGUGAUAUCUCUUCUUGGAGCUAUGAUCUUCGUGUUUUCAAUAACUAAGAAUUUGUCUGGGACAAGUUGUGGGACGGAGGCGGGUCUUUGACUUGAUAGUUUGUGACCACUAGAUUGAUCCAGGGAAGCUUGUGGCUUCUCAUUUCUCUAUCUUAGACAAUAUAUAGAGAAGAGCAGUUUGGUAAUUUUUUCUAUAAUAAAAAGUCAAUUGGACAGAGGGACUAAGUUGUAGGUUUUAUUAAAUCUCAGGGAUUAAAUUGCUUUGUUUUGCCUGUAAAACUAUGCAUGAUAUUGUUAUAAGCAAACUUAGCUUGUAGAAGUACAUGAUCCAUUGCUUGUACUUAUCUCCAUUGUUAUAUGCAAACUUAGCAUACUCUGAAUCAAAUUUCUCAAUAUUCAAUUGACAAUAUCAGUUUGUCCAUUAGUUUGUGGAUGUAUUGUGCUAUUGAAAUUUCUAUUGAACUUGAGAUAGAAAGUAGUAAGUCUAUGGAAACUUCUGUUGUUAUUCGUGGUCUUUGUUGUAGGCCAAUAAAUGAUUGCUCUCACCUCAUCUUCAUCUGCCUGUAUGCCUUUAGAACUGAACACAAAUUCUAAGAAUACAAGCCUUUUAGUCGUAAAACCACUCUUCUUGAUGCAUCCUACAUCGGUUCUGCAGGGAGGUCUUGAGUGUUAUAUGUAUGGGUUUGCAAACCUCCCCUCGUGAGUUAGCUUUUGAGGUGGAGUUAGGCAGAUUCAUAUUAUUUGGUAUCAGAGCCUCACUUUGUGCUAGUCAGUGGGCUAUGUAUAAAGGUUCUCUGACGUUCUAUGAAAGAGGUCGGGGUAAAGAAGUCAUGACCUGAGGGGUGAACAAGUCAUGAAUGUCCUCUUGAAGCAAUCGGGGUCAUGACUUGUUCACCUCAACCACUCCCGAAGAAUGUUAGGGAACCUUUGUACGUGGCUCACUGACUCGUGUAGAGUGAGGCUUUGAUACAAAAUGAUAUGAUCUUGCCUAAAUUCACUUCAAAAGCUAGUUUACGAGGGGAGAUUUGCAAAUCCAUACAUACGACAACUAUGACCUCCCUCCAAAAUCGAUGUGGGAUGCAUCACUUCUUUAGGUUUAGGUAUAAUUUGUUUUCUUGAAGAACUUUCAUUACCUCUGUCAAGUAUUCAAUACGCUUUUCUUCGUACUUGUUGUAGAUCAAAAUAUCAUCCAAGUAGAUUAUAACAAACUUUCCAAUGAAAUACUUAAGUACUUGGUUCAUCAACCUUAUGAAAGUGCUAGGUGCAUUGGAUAAUCCAAAUGACAUAAUUAACUACUCAUAUAACCCUCCUUAGACUUAAAGGUGGUUUUCCAUUCAUCUCUUGGUCGAAUUUGAAUCUAGUGGUAGCCACUCCUUAGAUCAAGUUUGGGAAAAAAUUGGGCUCUAGAUAAUUGAUUGAGCAUUUCCUUGAGCCUCGGUAUUGGAAACCUGUAUCAAUUGGUGAUUUUGUCAAUGGCUUGGGCCACGUGGUUGUCAACAUGCAUUUUCCAAUUCCCAUCCUUCUUCAGGGUUAGCAAUGUUGGGAUUGCACAAUGACUCAUGCUUUUCCGAAUGUAAGCUUUAUCAGUAAGCACAUCACUCCAUUUCUUUAAUAUCUCACUCCUUUGGAUUCAUCCUGUAAUGAGAUAGGCUAGGCAAACUUCCCCUUGGAACCAUAUCUAGAUGAUGCUAAAUGUUCCUCAUAGGUGGCAACUCCUUUGGUAACUCUUCAGGAGCCAACCCUUUGAACUCAAUCACAACUCCUUCACGGCAAUAGGAACAAAGGCUAUUGCUUUUGCCUUUGUGUUUGGUUUUGUUUUGACUGUUUACUGGUUUACAACCCCGCAAGUGCAUGAAUUGUGAAUAAGUAACAUAGUAAUGAGUAGAGUAUCGUUCUCACGAGGAAUUUGUAAGUACCAAGCUGGACAACAAUUUUGACUGUUUAAAUUACCGAAUAUGAUGAGAGGUUUAAUCUAAAGACGUUGAAAAUAAAAGAAGACACAUCAGUAAACUUAAAUUUAGAAAACAAUUUACGAAAACAAUUUCAGAAUUAGGAUUUCACACUUCAACCUUAUUAUGGACUUAACCUUAACUAUUUAACAAAUUUAGAAUUAUUACUUUGAUGGAAAUUAAUCCUAACAGAUCUUAAGUCCUCUCUCAAGGCGCUUAAGGUGUAUUUUAAUUAACUUGAACCCUAUAUUUAGGGUGAUCAAUCUUAAUUAAAAUCUUUUAAGCUUUUUAAUUAAUUAUGGAACUCUACAAAGGAUUUCAGCCUACCUCUAGGUCAAAUUUUCUUAGUUCAAAAUCCUAAUUUUCAAUAUUAAUCUUCAUCUUUCAGUUCUUUAAUUAAUAUCUUAUAUCAUCGUUAAGUGGGUACCAGCACAAAGCAUAGAUUAAAAACAUAGAAUAUUGAAUGAAAGAAUACAACUUAAAUUCAUUAAAUAACUUUAGUAUAGAUCCAUAAUAAAAAUUGAAAGUGCUACUCUCUUAACCCUAGAAUUAAAUAAACUACUAACUCAUGGUGAGUUUAACAAACAUAAUGAAAUCAAAGUAAAAGGACACAAGAUAAUCUAAAGAAAUAAAACAAGAGAAUCUAGAACAAAGAUUUAUAGCCUUAAACUUUUAAAACUUCAGCUGAGAGUCCUUCUCCUUGAGCUUUGAUACAGAUUCUCUCUAAAUUGCUUAAAAAUUUAGGGUUUGGAAGUAAAGCAAACUCUCAUGCCUGUUUCGGUCUUCUAGUAUUUAUAUCAAGUGCUUAAAAGUCAUGUUUUUGAGUCUCAAAAGCCUUGGAAGUUUGUUCGGAAUAAGUGUAGUAGAAUCCAGGUCGAAGUAGAAGUCCUGUCUAGUGCAAAGUACACGGCCUGUGUGGCAUUACACAGCCUUGACUCAUGUAAGUCUCUGAACAACUUCAUGCUUCAUAUUUUAGGGAAGACAACAAAUUACACAGGGUCUUGGAUGUUACACGGGGCAAACUACACGGCCCGUGUACUGUUGUUUUUCCAAGCUCUCUCAAGUUCCCUUGGCUAGGAGGUUACAUGGGUCAUGCUUUUGGUUUACACGACUUUUUUGACUUCUAAGCCUGUUCAAUUGACUUCUAUAUAUUGGAUUUUCAUUAAAUCACCUAAAAAGAUACAGAAAACACGAAAUUAAGCGGAGACUAUUAAAAGUAAUAGAAAUUAAUGAUCCUAAGUAAAAUUCAUGUAAUUAACUAUCUAAAUACUAUGAAAUGUAAUGCAAAGGUAUCUCAAAAUACCUAUAUGAUACAAGUGUAUCAAAUACCCUAAAACUCGAACUUUUACUUGUCCUUAAGCAAAAUAAAACUUUUAAAAACUCAUUAAGGUACUUGAUUUUUUUUGAAAACAUAACCAAGAACUUAACUUGCACAUAAUUGAACUCUCUACGAACUCAUAUCAAUUUUCCUACCUUUAAGGCAUUGAGACAUCAAUGUUUGCUUGUUAGAAUUUCAUUCCCCUCAUGGAGUUUUAACCAAUCAUUCAACUUAUAAGGCCAUUAAUAAGCUACAAAUAGCCUGUUUUACUAGGAUAAAUUUGAGAAACACUUACUUACCUCAAAUUGUCUCUAUUAUGGAUGAUUGUGAUAAAGUGAGGUGAUAUAUUUCCAACUCCAUAGGCAUACCUCAAUUUCUUAUUUUCACUAAUGUAGCAUGUACUUUUCAAAAGAUUAAAAGGUUUUUAAUAGGAUUGUAACAGGGUUAGAGGGUAAUGACUUGGCUGCCAAUGAAAAGGUUUUAGGGAAUGCAAGUAUGAGGAUUGCUAUCAUGCAAAAGUUUCAAAUACACUAGGUUUAUUUUUCUUUUUCUCUAUUUUUGCAUGGAAAAGAAGAGCGUUUUCUUGAUGACUUGGUUUUAGUGUUAAGUAUGCUUGCUUGGUGCUCAAAUUGGGACUUCUUUGAUUGUUUUCUUGACUUUAUUUGGUAUUUGUAUUCCUUUGGUGCUUACCCCAAACUCGUUGCUUUUAAUGGGUUGGAAGGAUAAUCCUUUUGAUAUUUUUGACUACAUACUUGCACUUCUUUUGAUUUUGCAUCUUCUUUCCAUCUUUUCUCUCUCUCUCUCUCUCUCUCUCUCUCUUUUUUUUCCAUACACCUAGCGUACCUUUCACCUAUGCACUUUGGCUUCCUCAUGGUGUAGGAUAAGUGUUUAGGCAAAGGGCUUGGGCAAUGUUAUGGGUUAUCAAAGAAAUCAUAUAAGGGAAUAGAUGUAGGUUCAAAUUGACUUUAAGAGGUGAAAAUUUGAUUUAAGGUGGCUAAGGUUAUAAUGAGUUUGUCAACAAAGAAUGCUUUAAUCAUAUCUUUAUUAAGCAUAUGCUAAGAUUUUGCCUCAAUAGGUCUAAGAGAUGUGUUCUAGGUUUGGUGAGGCAUAUCUAGGCUUGUUCAUAUUUCAAAAAUUUUCUCCUAAUUUUACAAGUCCAAUGUGACAAAUUAAUAGCAAUGAGGGGGGUUUAAUUAGUUUGACUUCACUUAGGCAAUGGAUUUUUCACAAACAAUACAUUGAAGCUUUUUUGCCUAUUCAAUUACAUCCAUUAUACUUUCCAAGAGAGAUUAAUUAUUAGCUCAUUAAGAUUUUUAGUUAUAGUUCUAAGAUAAAAAUUUUUGAAAAAGUUCAAAAAUUGAAAAAAAAAUUCUGGAUUUUGAUACAUAAGUAUGAUAAAGGUAUAAUAAAGCAAUGGAAUUAUUAAAUGUGAAAUGUCUAAAAUGAAAUACAAUGCAUGAAUGCACCCCUAAGCUCAAAUUUGACAUUGUCCUCAAUGACAACAUAUUAUACAAGCCAAAUACAGAUAGAAUAAGAUAAUAAACACACGAUAUUAGUAAAGCAAAUAUGUAUUAAGGCAAAGCAUAUAAACAUAAGGGCAAAGUUUGUUCAAAAUAAACUAACUAGACUAGGUAUUAACUAAGACUAAGGCCUAAGCCUGUACAAUAUCUUAAAAUCUAUCCUAAGUCUAGAAAGUCUCCAAUGAUGAGGAAGGUGCCCCCUCGUCUUGCCUCUUAAGAAUCAUGUCUAGUUUGUUGUGGGCUUCCUGGAGAUUGUCCACUAUAGCCUUGAUCCUGUCGGAUAGAGUAGUCUUCAGUGUCCUCAUCUAGUUGUUGAUAGUCGUCUCCAUCUUCUGUAGAUACGCAAGGACUGUAUCUGCUGAUGGUGGUGUGUAUGGAGUGACUUAGAAUGGUGACCUUGGAGCAGGGGGUCCAAUUCUUCUUACUGCUUUUGGGGCUGCUCUUGUGCUUGCAACAUUACCCUCGGUAAAUCGAUAAACAUUCUUCCUUCCAAUGUGGUGCGCAUCCCGAUCAAAUUGCUAAGGCCUACCAAACAGAAGAUGAGAUGUUUCCAUGUCCACAAUGUCAUGUAAAAUCUUAUAUUUAUAUUUGCCAAUGGAGAAAGGAAUUCAAUAUUGUUCAGCAACAAAAAUUGGCAGUAUUAUUUUGAUCCAUGUAAUUUUGUAGGGCUCUGGAUGCUUUUCAACUUGCAAAUUCAUCAUAUUCACAAGUUGGCGAGAAAUAAUAUUCUCACUCCUCCCACUAUCAAUCACGAGUUAAAAAAAAUCCUCUCUUGAACUCUGCAUUGAGUUCUAAACAGAUUUUGGCUUUGAGAGUCAUCAGCUUUCUUCAAAGUCAACAAACUUUUUUUGAAUCAUAUAGCGAAAGGCACUGGCAUCAAACUCUUCGCUCUUUAGGGUCACAAAUGACCUUUUCCUCUUCAGGAUCACCACUUUCAACAUGCUCCACGAGUGCAACUUGCUUCUGUGAAGUACAUUCAUUGGAACGAUGCUUUGGUUGUUCACAUUUGAAUCACUUGCCUAGAAUUGGUUUGGUAUGGGGAUUGGAGUUGCUGCUCUUCUCCUCUUCUUUAGGUGUUGCAGGAUUCAGCUUCUAGGAGUUAACUUGUAUUUUUGGCUCUGUUGCAGGAGUUUCAGCAAUCUGCUUGUUGUUACCUAUCGCAAGGGUUUUUGCGGUCGGCUGGACGAGCUCUCACCGAAGUGGGAAAAGUGAGGAGUCGCCACUUUAAUUUUGAGGGAAAUUAAAGAAAACCAUUUUGAAAAUUAAAAUCCACUUUAAAAACAAAGAUUCUAGGUUCAGAGUCCGAAUACGGGUGGGGAAGCUGUUAGGCACCCCACCUCGUCCCUCAACGAGGGUAAGCAGUUUUAAUAUUAUGCUCUUUAUGAAUUGAUAAUUUAGGGGGGUUAGAAUGAUGAUGUUAGUCCUUUGUUCGGAUAAAAGGAAUAUUUGAUAUUUCACUAUUUAGGGUUGCCCAAGAACACGAGUACGUGAGAUGACCCUUCAGUGAAUAGGCGUCGUGCAAUGGAUUUUUGUUUGAGGGUUAAUUUGUAUAUUGAAGUUGUAAUAUUUUAAUUUGGAUUUAAGUUAAGAGAAUUCGGAUAAGAACUCUUUCCCGAUCUCUUAAAGUGUUUUGUUUAAAAUUUAAGCGGGAGAUUUCGGAUAAGGACUCUCCUCCGAUCUCUACAUAUUUUAUUAAGAUUGUUGUCUGAGAAUUCGGGUAAGAAUUCUCCCCCCUAUCUCUUAGUUUAUUCUGUUUAAAAUUCAAGUGGGAGAUUUCGGAUAAGAACUCUCCUCCGAUCUUUGCAUAUUUAAUUAAGACUCUAGCCGAGAAUUCGGGUAAGGACUCUCCCCCGAUCUCUUAAUGCUGAGAAGUUUAAUUGAGAACUCGGGUAAGAACUCUCCCCCGAUCUCUUGGUGUAUUUAAGAAUUUAAGUUGAGAACUCGGGUAAGAACUCUCUCUCGGUCUCUUGGUGUAUUUAAGAAUUUAAGUUGAGAACUCGGGUAAGAACUCUCCCCCGGUUUCUUAAUAUAUUAUGUUUUAAAAAUUAGAUUGAGUUCGGGUGAGGACUCUCCUAAGGACUGUCCCCCGAACUCUUAAUGUGUUAUGUUUUAAAAAUUAGACCGAGCUCGGGUAAGGACUCUCCUCCGAACUCCUAAUGUGUUUAUUAGAAUUGCAUUUUAUAAGAACUUUAAACUAAGGAUUCUAGUGACCGAGGGCGCAAGAAACCUGUGCAAAGCUUUUCUAACCCACUGAACCUUAUAACUAAAGGGAGGAUACAAGACUGAACUUCUUGCCGAUCUUCUACGCGAUUGUCUUAUCAGAACUCUUUGAUCCGAUCUCUUUUAAUUGCUCACCUGGAAUCCGAACUUAUCUUGAUUCCCGAUCUAUUAUAUUAUCACCUAGGCUUGUUCCGUGGCCCGACCUCAUAACUUGUUCGUUUGACCUAUUCUCGCUUCCAGCCUAUUCGACCUUUUGUUACACCUAUCUUUUUAUCAUUUUUAUUUUUUUGACCUGAAAACUCUCAUGUCGAAAUACCCCUGCCUAUAUUCUUUUGAGUAUUUACUAGUUGCUUGUGACUUGAACGUCUACUCUCGAAGAAAAUGAAAACUAAAUGACGAUAAAUGGGAUUUGCGAAUAAAUAAGAAAAGGCACAGGAGAUAAUUUCGGGACUAUUCUGAGACUUAAUAUAACUGGAUGUAAAAGAAACUUUAAAAGUAGAUUUGAGAAAACGAACCAAGGGUAUUUAACAAAAUGACAGUGUAGAUGCUUACCUGUGGAAAAGUUGAGGAGACAGAUGAGCUGAUUCCGGUAUCCACGAAUCUUGAAGGAGUGGGAGCUGACGGCCGAAUGACCAGGACUUACCCAAAGUAAUGGGAAGAGGUCGGAACAAAGUUGAACUCGAGGGGGGGGGGGGGGGUAAUGCCAGAUACUAGUACGGUGGGAAUAAGGUGAAGAUGAAGAUGGUUACACUGAAACUAAAAAAAUAGAAGUUUUAGGACUUAAAAGUUCCUUUGGAUGAAAAUACUUAAGAAAAUUGGUUUCUGAAGUUUCUCAACACUUCGAAAGCUCGGAAUGACAAGUAGCAAGACUGAAUCAAAUUUCAGAGUCUUUCCACUAUAAUCACCACCUUUUCAUUUUUUUUUGUCCGUCCUUUCUACAGUAUUGCAUGCAGGUAUUUAUAGGAAACUGGUGCCCAUAAUGAAGGGUUAGGAUCUCACCAGGGGAGACGGAGGGUUUAGAUUCAAAAGGACGUAAUCUGAUGUCUGAGAAUUAAAGAGAAUCAAAAUGGAGGGUCGGGAUUCCGUUCUGAAUAUCCGUCCUUUCUUCUCUUAAUCCAACGGCUCAGGGUCUUGCCUUACAAAAUGGAUCCAAAGGCUAGGAAUAAAAAGCGCCGAACCUGUCAUCUGCUUUUUGAUCUGAGGGCUCCGGAUCGAUCUUUACGAUUAUGAUCAACGGUGGAGAUCGAGAUGUACAGGACUGCGUUAACUGUUUUGGCGUGUGGUGAGGUUCUGAUCAUGCCUGUAAUGCUUUAACUAAUUCGGAUAUGACGAUGAAGAGAGUUGAUUGAAAGUUAUUUAAUCUCUCUAUGCUUUCCGAUCUUAAUUUUCUUCCGAUCUCUCUAUUAUGAACCUCUCCUUUUCCGAUCUCUCUCUUGUAUCGGGUCUCCACUCAUUUCCCGAUUUCUCCCAUUCUAGAUCUUUCCCUUUUAUCUAACUUGCAUUGGUCAACGUAAUAAAUUCUUCAGUUAUCGAUGCAUCCGCUUCGGGUUCUGUAUGCAUAAGUGCCAAGGUCCUAUAUAUAUGCAGCGAUGGGAAAUUAUCUUCACACCUCACUUUUCCUUUCUUAGUUUGUUUUCAAAGCACCCCUUUCCUAAUUUUAGCUUUUCCGGUGAUAAUUUUAAUCAUGAUGCCAUUUUGAUUUUUUUCCGACUAUUUCCUUCGUCCCUCGCCUGAAAAUUUAUGACCCCGGCAAUCGGAGAGCCAUAAGAAUGUUAUCUAAUGACAGUGAGGGAACCAGACUAAUUUACCGAUCAAGAUCGAAAGUGACGGCCGUGUCGAUCUCGAAUCGGUCUAUCGGUAUAAUCGGUAGACCGAUCUCAGACAAGAGGACUGCUAAUUUCAAUCUUAAUGUCGGUGACUGCCUCUUGAAGUUCAUUUGGCUCCUAAUCAUAUCGGGCGUUCCGACUGCAGCUCGGUUCUGAUCAAUAACAUCGGUGAUGACUCCGCUCAAUAUCAUGAGUCAUAGUCACUCCAUCUGAGCUGUACAUCUAUCCAACAUUUGUGAUUGGCUUUCUGAUCAAACACAUCUUUUGAUUCAACCACAAGACUAGGCUUUGACAUAGGCCUGCAUUCCGGGCCUCGGAGUAGUCUCAAGCUAGGUAGAAUGUAGUGCUGAUUUUGAGAGAUUGCUCAAAUGAUGUAAUCCGAUCUUUUGAAAUCGCCCAAAUGAUGUAAUCCGAUCUUUUGAGAAAUAAAAUGAAAAUUUUAUUUGAAUUUUUUUGUUUUGUUAUCGCAUUAGUUAUCUUUUCGAUCUCAGAUAAGUGUGUCCGAUCUGAUCCCAAGACGAAUCGUCUUUCGGCAAUCCGUGGGUUCGGAAAUUUAUUCAAUUUGAUGACCUUAGUUAACCGAUCUCAUUUAUCCGAUUUUUAUUAUGUUUCUGGAACCUUCUUGCGACGUGUCAAAGAAGCGGCCGGGUUCCGCUAACCGAUGCGUCGCUUAGGACUUCGUGAGCAUUUAAUGCUCAGACGGGUAUAAAUAGGGGAGGGGUGACUUAUUUGCUUCCUUAUAUCAUUUCAGAGCUUCCUUUAGCAAUUUCAGCACUCCUUUUCGUUUUUUAGAGUUUUCAGGCACCGAUUAUACUCCGAUAAGGAUUUUAAUCUUUCCUCGGUUAAUUUUCUUUUUGUUUUCUGAAAAUGAGCGGUACCGAGGGUCAGAGAGCUGCGAGCCGCCUUCCGUCCAUAUAUUGUGGAUCUCUGAAGAAUGCGAUGUGAUUAGAUCAGGCGGACGAUCCAGCAUGGCCAUCGUUCCGGUUACUGGUCCGGCUACCCGACCGAAGCGAGGAACCUCUUCGAGAAGGGAAAACCUGCUAGUCAAUGAGUUGCCGUCCGUCCUGAGAGAAAUCGAUCUCCAGUCCAUAAGUCAAGAGUACAAUUUGCGGAUUGACUCCUUUGAACUGAUCAAAUGCCAUGGUGACCUUUGGGCCGAUCACUUCUUUAAUGAAGGCGAUCUCAUCAUAGUAUACAAAGAGCAGCUGAAGGCCAGACUCCGUUUUCCUUUGGAUGAAUUUUAUAAGGCCGUCAUAAAGUUUCACCAUGUUUCGGUAGCUCAAGUACAUCCGAACUCCUGGAGGACUUUAGCAGUUUCAGGGGCCUCUGCCGAGCCAAGAAGUUGGAGCCCACGGCUAAAGUCUUUGUCGAGCUGCAUAGGCUUACCCGAAGGAAGAAUGACGAAUUCUGGUUCUUUCAGGCGAAGCUGAACUGCGCGCUUUUUACCGAUUUCCCUUCUUCAUUAAAGAAUUGGAAGAACCGGUUUUUCAUAUUAAGGAGCAAGAUUCCGAACGGCUUCGAGGGUAUCCCACGGAGUUGGCAAUACUUGGUCGCUUCAAUUCCAAAGAAGAUCACCCCAAAUAAGGACGAAGACGCCAUGGUGAACGAUUUAAAGACUCAGGCGUCCACCCACAAAUUCUCGUGUUUAGAUGCGGUUAUGGCCGAACUGACGUGGUGGAUGAUGCGCCUGAUCACCGACUAAGACAACGAGCUUUAGCUAUCUGACCUCGGUCCUGGUAUGGCGGGUGGCGAGGCUUCUAAAGAGAGCCGCAAGCGAAAGAGGGAGGUCUCCCGAAAGGUAAGGGCGAUGAAGGAGGCCACUGCUACUGCUGCUCAAACUGCUCAGCGAGAAUUGGUAGAAAUAUCGAGCUCCCCUCCUCGACCUCAAGAGCAGCCGGUCUCUGAAGUAGAGGUUGCCGUUUCUCCACCUCGGCAGAUUGAAUGUCCGCCUCUUCCGCCUCCUCUGAUCUCUUCCAAUGUGGAAGGAGAGUCUUCUGGUCCCAGUGUUAGGACGCUUUCCCAAGGAGCUCAACUUCUCAUCCAAUGACUAGAGAGGAACCGUUCUACCCGAGGGAACCCUGGCCUAGCCAAGGUCAUGGGCACCUCCAUCUGCUUCCAAGAAGAUCGAAACAGAUUGGCAGAGGAGAGCAUGAACAAUAUUUUAACUCAGACAAUGAGUUUGGGCUUGGAGGCUAUUGAAAAUCAACAUGUGAUCAGAGAAAAAGCCCAUGUCUUAAGGAAGGAGAUUUUUAAGGCGGUCCAGGAUGCCUCAACUGCUAAGGCUCAACUCUCCUCUGCCAACGAUUACAUUGCCGGGCUAGAAGAUCGGGUGAAGCGUUGCGAAGAUAGGGUAGCCGAAGUGGAGCAAGAACUUGAGGUCUCCCGAGCUGGUCGAUUUGCCGAUCUCGCUCGUUUUGCCGAGGAACUUCGGGCGAAGGAGGAGGAGCUCCAGGCCAAGGAGGAGGAGCUCCAGGCUAAGGAAGAGGAAAGCACAACAAAAGAGGCUGGGGCAUAUGUGAACGCCCAUAAUGACCUCCUGGCCGAGCUGAGGAAGCGUUAUCCUGAGGAGGACUUCUCCUGGAUGAAUCAGCUCAUUCCAGAGGCCUAAGCGGAGAGCGAUGAGGAGCCUGAGAGAGAGGGAGAGGAUGACAGAACUGAUAAUGUACCCAGGGAGCAGGUUGGGAGAGAUCCUCCUGCUGAAUGACUUGUAUAUUUUAUUUUGAAAUGAAUUGAAGUCCUCUUUUUAUUUA
Hevea brasiliensis (rubber tree) is the source of this 12629-nucleotide long non-coding RNA. RefSeq lists it as uncharacterized. Lineage: Eukaryota; Viridiplantae; Streptophyta; Magnoliopsida; Malpighiales; Euphorbiaceae. The record is from RefSeq and is a predicted model, not a curated record. The transcript is spliced from 2 exons.